CCUGUUCCGGUCCAAAACACACACAAGCUGUGCUUUUGAACACAAGUGUGGAGGUGUGGAGCAGCCGCAGUUGCAACGCUAUCAGUUGACAAUAGGCGGCAAUUCGUCUCAGUCCACAGUCUCGUUACAACACAGGACUGCGCCAGCCUGCACACUGGGUGGAACCUUGGCAAUGGCCGCCUGGCCGGCCUACUACCAUUCUACAAAUCAACCUGUCAACACGUCACGGUCAGCAACGCACAAACACUUAUCGCCACAUUCCAACUUCCAGCCCAGUACUGCCGCUGCUACCCUCAACCUCUCCGCCUCCUCCUCCAUCUGCAGUCGCAGCACCAGUGCCCAUUCACCACAUGUCCUCACUCACUGCCGUCUGCUAUCACCUGCACCAGUGCCCACUCACUACAUGUCCUCACGCUCACUAUAUUGUCGUCUUAUUCGUUGCCGCCGCCCUCGCCCACAUCCUUGCCCGCGGCGUGCUCGGUCUUGCCAGCCAUCUCCUGGAUGCGGCCGCCGCCCAGAUGGCUGCCCACCUGUGUACAUGUGUGUGUGUGUGUGUGUGUGUGUGUGUGUGUGUGUGCGUGUGUGUGUGUGUGCGUGCGUGCGUGCACGUGCAGGGGCGGAGGGAGAGGUGGGGAUAGGGGGCGAGCGGCAAGAGAUAAGCGCUGACUUAUCGCAGCGCAGUGGAGAUAAGUCUAGUUAUUGCGACGUAACUGCCGUGUUGCGUUAGAGUCACGCACGGCGCAGGACGCUCGGGUACGUGCCUGUGCAUGGGGCCGAACCGAGCUGGGUCUUGUACGCGUCAGGAGCACACGGCGCCUUAUCUGCCGUUGUGCUUCUGUACUGUAUUUCGGAUCGUCCCUCUGCCGGGACGGUGACCUCAGUGUGUCGCACUUAAACGUUCCCUACAUUUCUGGACUUUCUUUGCAAUCCUAUACCUGGUUCUAACUAUACUUGACCAUGUAUGGACCGAAUAAGCGUUUAAUAUAUACUCAGACGGAGUUGCAGCGUUUUGUUGCGCGAUCCUGCUCAAUGGAACCCCUUAGCUUGAUCACGCUCGCUCUCUGAUCGUAAGGGAAUGCCCUUCGAAGCUUCUCUGGCGCUUUGAACCACGCUUUGGUUCGGGGGCCGCAUUCGGGAGCAAAUCGGAGCAGAGCGGAGCUUUCAAGCGGAGCAAAGGCGCGCGAAGCGUUGCGGACAAGGCGUUCGGCAAGUCACUGAAAGCAAAAGGGCAUGCACAGCUGUGCGGGCGGGCUACUUGCUUGCCAUGCGCGGUCCUGCUUGCCGUGCCUUCGUGUCUACCCGUCGCUUUACAGUUCACAGCUUUGUGCAAUACCUUUCCACAUCUUCCAUUGUGCCACCCCCACCUCCCCAAGACCCUCAGGACUUUUGGCGCGGUACUUCUCCUGUCUGCCUAUCCAGGCCGCAGGGCCCGCGUGCCCUUGGGGAAAGGGCGUGUGUGCCGUUGGGAUCCGGCCUGUGCGCCGCAAGCAACGGGCUUUGCGCCCUUGCCUUAUGGACAAUGGACGGCAUACGUGCCCUUAUGAUACGGCCUGUGUGCCGCAAGCAAUGGGCUCCGCGCCCUUGCUUUAUGGACAAUGGACGGCAUACGUGCCCUUAUGAUACGGCCUGUGCGCCGCAAGCAACGGGCUCCGCGCCCUUGCUUUAUGGACAAUGGACGGCAUACGUGCCCUUAUGAUACGGCCUGUGUGCCGCAAGCAACGGGCUCCGCGCCCUUGCUUUAUGGACAAUGGACGGCAUACGUGCCCCUAUGAUACGGCCUGUGCGCCGCUAGCAACGGGCUCCGCGCCCUUGCUUUAUGGACAAUGGACGGCAUACGUGCCCUUAUGAUACGGCCUGUGCGCCGCAAGCAAUGGGCUCCGUGCCCUUGCUUUAUGGACAAUGGACGGCAUACGUGCCCCUAUGAUACGGCCUGUGCGCCGCAAGCAACGGGCUCCGCGCCCUGGCUUCAUGGACAAUUUACGGCGUACGUGCCCUCAUGAUACAGCCUGUGCGCCGCAGGCAACGGGCUCCGCGCCCUUGCUCCAUGGACACUUCACGGCGUACGUGCCCUCAUGAUACGGCCUGUGUGCCGCAGGCAACGGGCUCCGCGCCCUUGCUUCAUGGACAAUGCGCCGCGUACGUGUUCUUAUGAUACGGCCUGUGCGCCGCAAGCAACGGGCUCCGCACCCUUGUUUUAUGGACAAUUCACGGCAUACGUGCCCGUAUGAUGUGACCUGUGUGCCGCAAGCAACGGCUUCGCACCCUUGCUUUUGGGUAAUAGAUGGCAUACGUGCCCUUAUGAUACGACCUGUGUGCCGCAAGCAACGGGCUCCACACUCUUGCGUUGUGGAUUAUAGACGGCAUUGAAAUGCUUACGUGCCUUCGUUGUACAUGCCUUUGCGUUGUGGACAAUGUGUGGUCUGAGCGCCACGUUCGGAUACGGCGUGUGUGCCGCCAGCAACAGGCUUUGCGCCUCGCAUCAUGUGUCUUGCGAUAUGGCCUGUGUGCCGCAUGCAAUUAUGCUGCCUGCCCUGUCGUUAUGGACGCUUCGACUUGUUGCGUGCCCUGCUGCGUGCCCUGUCGCAAUACGCCUUGAGUGUACCGUGCACGGCAAGCCUGCGCCUCGCUAUUGCUUCGUGUUGACAACGGAGCGGGCUUACGUGAUCAUGCGUCACCCUGUACGUCUUGAGGUCCGCACGCACAUCAUACUAUCACGCGGCACCACCCUUGUAGUUUGGCUGACGCACCCCAAGCCAACCUAUAUGCAUUCGAUGUGUGCGCUAGGCCCAAGUGCCGAAUUUGUUUUUCCGGAUAUUUCGCCCUCAGUGAGCGAUGUGGAGUUUUGUGCAGUUCGGCCAGCAUGCUAUGCCCAGCCAAUAACAAUACCGCAUGACGCAUAACUAUACCGCAUGACGCAUAAACAUGCCUUCGUGCCCUGCACCAGGCAUCGGACGCUGUGUCACGCAGUGAGCCCGACCCUGCGCAACCAACAUUUUGUUGCGAGAUACGGUCGGAGCUGGGAUUACAGCCUGCCUGGUGGGUUUGGAUGGCGCCCGUGUGUUGGGCUGGGCUGUUGCUGCUCGCGGUGGGGCCCACCACCAAGUCACGGCACCCAUCCGCCCUCCCCUCUUGUUGGCCCACCCGCCUGUACACAUGCCAGUCACCCGCUCGCCAUCCUGUGAAAGCGGGUAGCCGACUUGGCAAGCGCUUUUCCUGACACUUGGCGCAGGUUUGAGUGGGAUACCAGAAUGGUCUGAAUGUAGUUGUUGGAUAACCAGUACACUGCGGUGUGUAGCUGGUUAGCGGGAGUGCCGUGCAUGAAACACGCUACUCGACCCGCCAUGCCCGCGCGAUGGUACCACCAACCGUUCAACCCAGAUCCAUGCCGGGGUAGCAUCGACCCCACAGUCAGACUGAUAGCUCCUAUCCAGGUGUCAGGCGCCAUGUAUGUAUCUGUGGACGCGUCAAGCUGGCUUGUGCCGUAGCGUUGGCCGCCUGUAUGGCACGGCAUCUGUGUCACGUUAUGGCCUCAUGCUUACCGUAGUCACGCGGCUUGCGUGCUGUGCGGCACGCUCCCUGCCAAUCCUUCAGGACAUGUAUGCAUACAUGUUACUUCGUCAGAGCCAUAGCAGGGGCAGCGUGUUCUGUCAAUGCCUCAUGAACCCAGAGACCCAAGCCAACGUACGCAUUAGUUCCGCAACGCACGUCAAUGCCAACUGUAUGUGUCGCCUGCCCACUCGCGAGUGGACGCCUAGGGAACCAACCUUGGUUCCUUUCAGCCCCGGCCUUACUUCACCCGGCGGGGCAAUUACUUAUCACCGAAGUGCUAGGAGCAGUGUGCUAUAUGUCAUUACUAUUAAGAGCGUAUGGCGACACAGGCUCACAUGUGGGUAGCCAGGCUUGGCAGGCAUCCCAACUCAGCCCGGCCUCCUCACAGCAGUACCACGACGUGCCCGUACGUGGUCGAGUGCGGAGUUUGGCUGCCGGCGUGGCUGUAUCAUCUCUCACAUUGGAUGACCCAUCCGCCACUGCUGUUCACUACUGGCACGUCCCUCGAGUCGCUCACCCACCGGCUCCGCCCAGCGUUCGCUCCCUUUGGCUGGGCCGGGGCCCGUGGCGCAUCCAACCCGCCAUCGCGGCCCCGAGUGCUCCUUAUUUCCUCCCAUCACUACGCCUUCUAUCACUAUAGAUACAUUGCGCGUUCCACGCGUGCCGGGUAUCCUUCACCCCUCCGCGCCGCUCGACCAGGCCAGCCUUGCUGGGGUUGCUGAGGUGUUACCCUUCAUGUUGCCCUCCCUGCUAUUACGGUACACCCCACAGCUGCCGUGGCGUACGGUAUCGGCACGUACGGGACAUUGUGUGCAUGCAUCCCCGCGGCGUUUGGAGGCAAACAUUCACGUGCGCGCCUGUCCUGCGUCCGCCGGGGUGAUGCUAUCUAUGGGUGUACCUACUGCUUGAUUGGUAGUGACUCUUAUGCAAGACACUGCAAAUCUCAAGCAUGGCACCUAGCUAGCAAGAAAGAAAUUAGUGUUCGUGGCCAUGCUGCACGGCUGGGCAUGGCUGCCCGCAUCCUACACCACGACGGCGCGGGUGAACGAAGGGCAGGUUGCCGCGCGUGACUCGCGUACGUAAAACCGCUCUAGUGUUGCAACUCGCGCCUUCUCCUGCGUGGCGCAUGUUGGCUAGCCUGUCCCAGCUUCGAGUCACGACGUUGUUAUUAUUCCCAAGGUUGUUCCGAGCAGCCUACAACGUCAACACGUGUUAUGGCAUGGCCCUGGGGGCCGGUAGAGAGUACCGAGGUCUCCAGUGGUUCGUGCCAACACGUGCCAACACGCACUGUUACCUUUCCUGGGCACACGGACGGCCACAGCUGCCCACAAGCCACACACCUGAACAAGGAUGCAUGUGUUUCCCUGUAACGCCCCGGCGUCGUCUGCAUGGCUGGCGCACGCGGGAUAACGCAUGUGUGUUUCUGUCGUGGCCAUUGGUGCACCUGAUACGUUUGUGAGUCUGGUAUCAUGGCCCUUGCAAAGCCAGUCGUGUUCCUAUUGCUGCUUGUCUUCUGGUAGUGACCAUUGGCCGCCCAUGACCGACGGAGUGUGGCGCUGUCAGGCCCCGCGUUGGCGUCGCCCUGCGCCUGCAGCAGGUGCCGGCGGCGCCUCCGGCGGCGCUCAUCCCCGCGUGAUGGUGCUGCUCGUGCAGCCAAUAUCCCCAAGCACGAAGCUCGUUCUAUUGACCGCUGUUGAGUGUGCAACUAGGACCGUACGUUCGUGCGCAAGCUAGGCGAUGGGCGGAGCGCUCCGCGGUGUUCGAGACACAUGAUUUCGGUAGCGCAAGGGCACGAACGCCACCGCCAUCACCGCCGACCGCACCUUGGUUUGCAUGACCGGCCGUUGGGCCAAGCGCUUUGCGAGAAGAGCUGCAUACGCGAAGCCAAUCAAGCCCAGCCACCAGGGCUGCCGUCGCCCGCACCAUGACCUCCCGGCGUUGAGGACUACUACCAAACUCUGGCAGCACUUUCGGCCACUAGUGCAACCUCAACACGGGCGGGCUGGGGCGGGCACGGCGGACUUGGUGGGGUUAUCGGGAGCUGCGAGGCCGGAGGUAGGAGGCCGCUGAGGGCCACGAAUGAGUUGCUAGGCCGCUUGAGGCAUGAGUGGAGGCUAUUGUCGGUUUGAGAGAUUGGGAUUGUCGUUUGGGGCCGUGGCGGUUUGUAACGCUACACGGCAGUAAGGAGUCAAUAAGCGCUGACUUAUCGCAGCGCAGUGGAGAUAAGUCUAGUUAUUGCGACGUAACUGCCGUGUUGCGUUAGAGUCACGCACGGCGCAGGACGCUCGGGUACGUGCCUGUGCAUGGGGCCGAACCGAGCUGGGUCUUGUACGCGUCAGGAGCACACGGCGCCUUAUCUGCCGUUGUGCUUCUGUACUGUAUUUCGGAUCGUCCCUCUGCCGGGACGGUGACAACCCACCCGCCCCCCCUGGUGCCGCCGCGGAUUAAUGUGGUGGCACCCGUGGGCGCUGCGGCGUGCGUGGUUGUCUGGACUCUGCUGCUAUCAGGCACUUCAUACAUGCGACACACCCAGUACUGGCAGCACUUUCGGCCACUAGUGCAACCUCAACACGGGCGGGCUGGGGCGGGCACGGCGGACUUGGUGGGGUUAUCGGGAGCUGCGAGGCCGGAGGUAGGAGGCCGCUGAGGGCCACGAAUGAGUUGCUAGGCCGCUUGAGGCAUGAGUGGAGGCUAUUGUCGGUUUGAGAGAUUGGGAUUGUCGUUUGGGGCCGUGGCGGUUUGUAACGCUACACGGCAGUAAGGAGUCAAUAAGGCGGGGCUGCAUGGGUGGUGGUGUGUGCACGGGGGCCCGCGCGUAUAUGGGAGGUGCGGCGGGCACUGGGUGGGGUGGAACAAAGCAUGAGGGUGACCUCGUCACGUGGGUCCUCCACCCCCAACACCCCCUGACUAGCCCACCGGCCGACCCACAUCAACCGCACCGCACCACACCACACCGCACCACACCACAAGAGCCACGCGACAAAUUCACGCGCGUUGUGCCUUCAGACACGCCAUACACGCACACACACACACCCACUCAUGCCGACGCCCCCGCCCCCACCUUGACUCGCUCCAUGGCGUCGCACUCGUCAAAGUUCUUGCCGUACAGCUUCUGUGGCACGUGUGUGGUGGGUGGGGUAGCGGAAAGCGGGGGAGGGUUAUGUGCCCUAUCCCGAGCGCUGGGGCGAGGGUAGGGGCAAGGGGUGGGGCACGGGCGGGAGCGGACGCGGGUGGCGGGCUUGCAGUGACUGUGCAAGGCGACCCGCUGUGCUUGCCCAUGACAUCAGUUCAGUGCAAUGGCUCCAGGCUAUACACAGUAGAGCAGGUCUGUGCUAACACUGCAGUGUGCGGCGAGAGCGGGCUGCUGGCGGGACCACGCCCGGUGGUGAGUCACCGUCACCGUCAUCACACGCGCCCGCAACCGCUCCCGCCGCCGCGUCCGGCGCUAAGCCCGCUCUCGGAGCCGCGCCCAGCACACGGCGCCCGCCAGCCGCCGCCCUUGUGGCUCCCUCAUGGAUCCCGCAGCCUCCCCCGCUACCCCAGCGCCCGCCCCGGGGCCCCCCCGGCACCACUCGCCUGGGCCAUCUCGUUGCGCUCCUGUUCGGAGGCCGGCAUGGUUGCUGUGGAUCUUUAAGAAGUUCGCUUCUGUGUGUGUUUGGGUUUUUGAGUUGCGAAGCUUGUGCGUGUGCUGCGCGCUGCGGUUGCAAAGUUGACGGGGCCCCGUGGGGGUUUUGAACCCGCCGGCCGCAAUGGGGCAAUGGGGCAGCAGCCGAUCCCGAUCCCGCCAGCCUGUCCCAUAGGUCUGAAACACUUUCCGAGCCCCUUCACAAAACUGUUAGCCCAAACUCACAAGCAGCGCGACCUCUCUACCCAACUAUAACUCAGCAUUUCCGCCGAGCCCGCUAGAAUGUCGCAGGCGCAGGAGCCCGCUGCUUCGCAGCACCAGUCGCAGAACCCCGUCGUCUCCGCGGUGAGUGGGCCGCUGAUCAUGAUCAUGUUUUGCUGUUGCUGGCGGCCCCAGCAGCAGGGCAGCAGCAGUCGAGGUAGCAGCGGCGGCGGCGCCGAAACUCGGGCUCCCGGGCCGGCCGCCCAAAAGCGCGCGCUUUUCCGGCGCUGACUAGGCUUUGGACUUUGGCCUGCCUGCCUGCGACCGCAACCGCGACCCACGCAUUAAGGCCUCGCGCUUCCUGCACUGCGCGACUGCAAGCUUGUCCGUGGCCUGCAGCUCGCUAGCGCCCCGAGCAUAUGACCAGCAGCAACUCGCGCAACUGGGUCCCCGUCCUUUCACCCCCCUGCUCCCCUUUCGCUCCCCUCUCCGGUCCUCCCGUUUCCCAACCCUCUCUCCUUCCCAACCCUCCCCUCCCCACCUUCCCCUCCACUCCCCCACAGCCGCAGUCUCAGCAGCAGCCCACGGACGCGCCCAAGGUGCUGGCGGGCGGCAACGUCGACCCCACCAACCCGCUGGCGGGCGGACACGCUGGGCUGGAGAACCCCGAGGCUGCCAAGAAGGCCGAGGACAUGGGUGCGUGUGGGCGUGUGUGUGGGGGGGGGAGUGGGUUGGGGUGGGGCGGGGGGUUGUACAUGCCCGAGCUAAACGAAGGGGGUGGUGGUAGGUGGUUGGGCAGUGCUGGGCAGAGGAGGAGCGCGAGACCGCGAUUGGCCAGCGUUGCGGAGGGCGGGACUGCGGCCUCGACUUCCCGGCUGCGUGUGCCAUACCCAGGCUGCGUGCACUACUGCCAUGCCACCCCAACCCCCACACCCACGCCGCUAGCCAACCCGUGGCCCCCGUUUUCCGCACCCCACCCCCCCUACCUGGUUGCCGCAGGCGCCACCAUCCCCAGCCAGGGCCCGCCGCCGGAGCUUUCCGCCGAGACCGCCAGCGGCGGCACCCAGUCGGGCACCCAGCCGGGAACCCAGUCGGGA
This 8472-nucleotide long non-coding RNA is filed under the name Chlamydomonas reinhardtii. RNAcentral's name for it is "long non-coding RNA (CREI_LNC000064)". The record is from RNAcentral. Lineage: Eukaryota; Viridiplantae; Chlorophyta; Chlorophyceae; Chlamydomonadales; Chlamydomonadaceae.